This 433-nucleotide ribosomal RNA is filed under the name uncultured bacterium. RNAcentral's name for it is "partial 16S ribosomal RNA". It matches the Rfam family "Bacterial small subunit ribosomal RNA", at positions 29 to 507 of the family's 1533-position model. The record is from RNAcentral.
AACGAACGCUGGCGGCAGGCCUAACACAUGCAAGUCGAGCGAGGACUUCGGUUCUAGCGGCGGACGGGUGAGUAACGCGUGGGAAUGUGCCCUUCUCUACGGAAUAGCCCUGGGAAACUGGGAGUAAUACCGUAUACGCCCUAUUGGGGAAAGAUUUAUCGGAGAAGGAUCAGCCCGCGUUGGAUUAGGUAGUUGGUGGGGUAAUGGCCUACCAAGCCGACGAUCCAUAGCUGGUUUGAGAGGAUGAUCAGCCACACUGGGACUGAGACACGGCCCAGACUCCUACGGGAGGCAGCCGUGGGGAAUCUUAGACAAUGGGGGCAACCCUGAUCUAGCCAUGCCGCGUGAGUGAUGAAGGCCUUAGGGUUGUAAAGCUCUUUCAGCUGGGAAGAUAAUGACGGUACCAGCAGAAGAAGCCCCGGCUAACUCCGUG